This 142-nucleotide ribosomal RNA is filed under the name uncultured Alphaproteobacteria bacterium. Its description in RNAcentral is "partial 16S ribosomal RNA". It matches the Rfam family "Bacterial small subunit ribosomal RNA", at positions 537 to 678 of the family's 1533-position model. The record is from RNAcentral. Lineage: Bacteria; Pseudomonadati; Pseudomonadota; Alphaproteobacteria.
AGCGUUGUUCGGAAUUACUGGGCGUAAAGCGCACGUAGGCGGAUAUUCAAGUCAGGGGUGAAAUCCCGGGGCUCAACCCCGGAACUGCCCUUGAAACUGGUUGGCUAGAAUCCUGGAGAGGCGAGUGGAAUUCCGAGUGUAG